This is a non-coding RNA of Notechis scutatus (mainland tiger snake), 2083 nucleotides long. NCBI's taxonomy places the organism in Eukaryota, Metazoa, Chordata, Lepidosauria, Squamata, Elapidae. The record is from RefSeq and is a predicted model, not a curated record.
GUCGGACUUCGCCCGGAGGGGGCUGGGGCCGGAUCCCCCCCCCGAUCCGGGGCUCGUGACCCGCGGCUUGUUCGCGCCUGCCGGCUUCGGCUGCCUCGGGGCUGCGCGAAGGGCUGAUCCUGCUGCUGCUGCUGCCACCGCUGCCCUCCUGCAGGGGCCCCGCCUGGCCUGCACCCCAAGGGAUGUGCGACUUCGCUGCCCGGGAGAAGCCGGACUCUGCUGCCCGGAGAAGAUGACUCAGAGCCACGUGGGCAUCAACAGGGACUAUGGCAACUGGGAGUGGAGCGCCGCUGAUGCGGGCGAGCGGGCCAGGCUGUUGCAGAGCCCCAGCGCGGAGGAGCCCCGGCCGGCCACCACCUCCAUGCUGGGUGCCGUCUUCAUCGUCGUGAACGCCGCGCUUGGUGCGGGCCUGCUCAACUUCCCAGCAGCCUUCCAGAUGGCCGGCGGAGUGGCCGCUGGAAUCGCCAUGCAGACGGGGCUGCUGCUCUUCAUUAUUGGUGGGCUGGUCAUCCUGGCCUACUGUUCCCAGGCCAGUAACGAACGCACCUACCAGGAAGUGGUAUGGGCUGUUUGUGGCCGAGUCCUGGGUGUGCUGUGUGAGGUGGCCAUCGUGGUCUACACCUUUGGCACCUGCAUCGCCUUCCUCAUUAUCAUCGGGGAUCAGCAGGACAAGAUCAUUCCAGUGCUGGUAAAGAGCUGUGCCACAGAAGGGAGGAGCUGCUGGUUCACGGAUCGCAAAUGCACAAUCAGCCUCACGGCCAUUCUCUUCAUCCUUCCACUGUCCGUCCCCAAAGAAAUUGGCUUCCAGAAAUAUGCCAGCUGCUUGAGUGUGAUCGGGACCUGGUACGUCACAAUUGUCGUCAUUAUAAAGUAUUUUUGGCCUGAUCAGGUGAUCUCCCCCGAGAUAAUCACCACCAGCCGCCCUUCUUCCUGGGUGUCUGUUUUCAACGCCAUGCCCACCAUUUGCUUUGGUUUCCAGUGCCACGUCAGCAGCGUGCCCAUCUUCAACAGCAUGAAGUGCCCGCAGGUAAGGACCUGGGGAGUCGUCGUGACGGCAGCCAUGGUCAUCGCCCUCUUUGUCUACAUGGGCACAGGCGUCUGUGGCUUCCUGACCUUCGGUGAGAGUGUGCAGCCGGACGUGCUGCUCUCCUACCCCUCGGACGACAUCCCGGUCGCCUUCGCGAGGGCCUUCAUCAUCCUCUCGGUCCUGACUUCUUACCCGAUCCUGCACUUCUGUGGAAGAGCCGUCCUGGAAGGUCUCUGGCUGCGCUACAAAGGGGAAAGCAUGGACGAAGACGCGAGCCGGGAGAGACGCCGACGCCUAUUGCAGACCUUCUGCUGGUUCCUCCUCACCCUCCUCCUGGCCUUGUUCAUUCCGGACAUCGGCAGGGUCAUCUCGGUCAUUGGGGGGCUGGCCGCCUGCUUCAUCUUUGUCUUCCCAGGCCUCUGCCUCAUCCACACCAAGCUUUCCGAAGUCCAGGGAGCCGGAGGAGUCAGCUGGUGGAUGGUGGUCGGCUAUGGGAUAUUCAUGGUUGUCCUCGGCGCUUUCAUCUUCGGACAGACAACGGCCAAUGCCAUCUCCAUGGAUCUCAGGAAGUGACCCCCCAACUCUACUUCACUGGAUCUGGACAGUCUCCUGGGGACUUUUAAGCAGCCAAAUUAUUGGACCCUCCGGUUUGGGGGAUACCUCGGCAUUGACAAAGCACGAGGGUCCUUUUCUUUCUCCGGUCAAAUCGCUUCUCUGGUUUCCAGUUGCCCUUGGUGGGAGGGCUGUUGGCUUUUACCUGUUGCCCCCCCCCCCACACACACACAAAAGAAAGAGGCCUGUGGACUUCAGCCGCUGAGGAGGAGGUCUCUUCAUUUAGCCGAGGAGAUCAGCUGCUCUGUUUGGACCAAGGAUGGAAUAAAGUGAAUGCAUUUGAUUGUGAUUGUUGUGACAUCAAAUAUGUGAAGGAAGGGUCGCUUGCAGGUCAGCAUGUGAGAAGAGCAUUGAGCAAUUUUAGUGGGGAAAAGGAUCCGUCUCCACAUUAAGCUGCUUUUGCUUUUCGUGUCUGAAACUGAAUCUUGCAAAACAAAGCAAACA